This 214-nucleotide long non-coding RNA is filed under the name Elaeis guineensis (African oil palm). RNAcentral describes it as "long non-coding RNA (EGUI_LNC034000)". Lineage: Eukaryota; Viridiplantae; Streptophyta; Magnoliopsida; Arecales; Arecaceae. The record is from RNAcentral.
GGUAGAAAGGAGGGGUGCACAUGGGGAUGCGCAUCUCCUUUCUUUUGCAUCGCAUCUUGGAUAAAAAAUAGGAGAGGGGGCGCUAGUCCAAACUUGUUGCCCACUCCCUGAUAUUCUCUAUCUCCUCAUUAGAUGGGGUUGGAUUGGUUCAAGUUUGAAAUUGAGCUCUUAUUAGAUAAGAGUUCAAAUUCAAUAGAAUUCUAUCCUUUCUCCC